UACCUGCAGCUCAAGUGGUGGCCGCUAUUAUUGGGCCUAAAACGUUCGUAGCCGGCUGAGUAAAUGCUUGGGUAAAUCGUGCCGCUUAACGGUACGAAUUCCGAGUAGACUACUUAGCUUGAGACCGGGAGAAGCUAGAGGUACUCCUGGGGUAGGGGUGAAAUCCUGUAAUCCUGGGGGGACCACCAGUGGCGAAGGCGUCUAGCUAGAACGGGUCUGACGGUGAGGGACGAAACCCUGGGGCGCAAACCGGAUUAGAUACCCGGGUAGUCCAGGGCGCAAACGCUGCUUGCUUGAUGUUAGCUGGGCUCCGAGCUCAGCUAGUGUCGGAGAGAAGUUGUUAAGCAAGCUGCCUGGGAAGUACGAUCGCAAGAUUGAAACUUAAGGAAUUGGCGGGGAGCACAGCAACGGGUGGAGCGUGCGGUUU
This 427-nucleotide ribosomal RNA is filed under the name uncultured archaeon. RNAcentral describes it as "bacterial SSU rRNA". It matches the Rfam family "Archaeal small subunit ribosomal RNA", at positions 474 to 903 of the family's 1478-position model. The record is from RNAcentral.